Molecule: long non-coding RNA, 568 nt
Organism: Branchiostoma floridae (Florida lancelet)
Lineage: Eukaryota; Metazoa; Chordata; Leptocardii; Amphioxiformes; Branchiostomatidae
Exons: 3
Source: RefSeq, a predicted model, not a curated record
AGUCUGCCGAAUCUGUUGUCUUGUCAUUGACGGUCCAUUGUUCAACCAAGCAGGACCGAAGGUUUCUUCUCACCAACUCGCACCGUAAGCGCCAGGACGCCUGUCCUCGGCAAGGGAAGCGAGGGGCUGGGGACCGUAACUCACCGUAAGGUUCUUCACGUCAAAGUCCGAGAUGUGUGUCAGGAUAAUCUUCCGGCUCAUUUACACUAGGAGACCCAAGGCGUUCUAAUCGGCCAGCUCUGCUUAUAGCCGUGCAUGGCAGUGCGAGGAAGCCGAUGCGUACCCACGCGUGGCCUCGCCUGGAAUCGUCUGAAACGUCUGGACGCGACAAAGGAGGCAAGGGCCUGCCAUCGGUGUCGAGCGUCGCCUUAACCAGUGCUUCAUGACAAGGCACGGGAAGACGUCCAAGAAUCUCCGCCGCAUUUUGAGAAGACCCGGUGUGUUCAAAGCGGUAGUCCGACGACAAGGCCUUCUCAAGACAUUUGGCAAGCACGAAGGCCCGUGAAGAGAAUACAUUCCGAACUGAAAUGCCUAUAUUUCCACCAUCUCUACAAUGCUGACCGUACCA